CGGACGGGUGAGUAACGCGUGGAAAACCUGCCGUAUACUGGGGGAUAACACUUAGAAAUAGGUGCUAAUACCGCAUAAGCGCACAGCUUCGCAUGAAGCGGUGUGAAAAACUCUGGUGGUAUACGAUGGUUCCGCGUCUGAUUAGCUAGUUGGUGGGGGAAUGGCCUACCAAGGCAACGAUCAGUAGCCGGCCUGAGAGGGUGAACGGCCACAUUGGGACUGAGACACGGCCCAAACUCCUACGGGAGGCAGCAG
Molecule: ribosomal RNA, 255 nt
Filed under: uncultured bacterium
Lineage: Bacteria
Description: partial 16S ribosomal RNA
Rfam family: Bacterial small subunit ribosomal RNA
Source: RNAcentral